GACGAACGCUGGCGGCGUGCCUAAUACAUGCAAGUUGAGCGCUGAAGGUUGGUACUUGUACCAACUGGAUGAGCAGCGAACGGGUGAGUAACGCGUGGGGAAUCUGCCUUUGAGCGGGGGACAACAUUUGGAAACGAAUGCUAAUACCGCAUAAAAACUUUAAACACAAGUUUUAAGUUUGAAAGAUGCAAUUGCAUCACUCAAAGAUGAUCCCGCGUUGUAUUAGCUAGUUGGUGAGGUAAAGGCUCACCAAGGCGAUGAUACAUAGCCGACCUGAGAGGGUGAUCGGCCACAUUGGGACUGAGACACGGCCCAAACUCCUACGGGAGGCAGCAGUAGGGAAUCGUCGGCAAUGGACGAAAGUCUGACCGAGCAACGCCGCGUGAGUGAAGAAGGUUUUCGGAUCGUAAAACUCUGUUGGUAGAGAAGAGCGUUGGUGAGAGUGGAAAGCUCAUCAAGUGACGGUAACUACCCAGAAAGGGACGGCUAACUACGUG
This 497-nucleotide ribosomal RNA is filed under the name uncultured bacterium. RNAcentral describes it as "partial 16S ribosomal RNA". It matches the Rfam family "Bacterial small subunit ribosomal RNA", at positions 28 to 507 of the family's 1533-position model. The record is from RNAcentral.